GCCACAAAGAAAGCAUUUCCCACAAGAGGAAGGGUUCCUUCCCACCCUCUGCAGUUUCAGCUGAUUAUGCUAAAACAUGAUCCCAUUUCUGCCAGGCUAUUUUUAUCCCAGGGCCCAGCAGCUGAUGAACCGUGCCAGGGUUUAAUUCUUCAGCACUGGACGAUGCAGGAAUCCAGAGGCCUGAAUGCAAGUCUGAUUUGAACAGAAGUACUACAGUGAGAAUGAUAAGAGAAGGCAGAGCAAGAAUUCCUGGCAAAGAGGAUGAGGAUUUAGAGAGAUGACAAGCAGGACCUUAGAGCCUUUCCAAAGGGAUGCCACUUGAACUGUUGGAGACACAUCUACAAGGUUGCAAUGAAUCCAAAAUGAUGAAACUGAGACUUGAAAUCUGAGCAUGUUGAUGGACAAGGGCACAAGUCUAAAAUGACCAGGCAGCCAGUUGUCACAUGCCAUUUCUGAGCCAAAGAUCUAUAUCACAAUCACUUCUCCACUCAUGACCAGAACCUGAGUGCCCUUCCCUCCGCUCUAACAAAGAAUCAGCACCUGUAGAAUCUCUGUGAAACCCGUUAGUGAAUUCAAACAAGUAUCACAACAAGGUCUACACCAACCAUUUCCCUGGAAGCAGGAUGGAUUUAAACAAGGUGCUCCUGUCAUCUGUGCCCACAAAACUCCAACAACAUAUU
Molecule: long non-coding RNA, 680 nt
Organism: Serinus canaria (Common canary)
Lineage: Eukaryota; Metazoa; Chordata; Aves; Passeriformes; Fringillidae
Exons: 6
Source: RefSeq, a predicted model, not a curated record